UUGGGUGUGACUGCGUACCUUUUGUAUAAUGGGUCAGCGACUUAUAUUCUGUAGCAAGGUUAACCGAAUAGGGGAGCCGGAGGGAAACCGAGUCUUAACCGGGCGUUAAGUUGCAGGGUAUAGACCCGAAACCCGGUGAUCUAGCCAUGGGCAGGUUGAAGGUUGGGUAACACUAACUGGAGGACCGAACCGACUAAUGUUGAAAAAUUAGCGGAUGACCUGUGGCUGGGGGUGAAAGGCCAAUCAAACCGGGAGAUAGCUGGUUCUCCCCGAAAGCUAUUUAGGUAGCGCCUCGUGAAUUCAUCUCCGGGGGUAGAGCACUGUUUCGGCUAGGGGGCCAUCCCGGCUUACCAACCCGAUGCAAACUGCGAAUACCGGAGAAUGUUAUCACGGGAGACACACGGCGGGUGCUAACGUCCGUCGUGAAGAGGGAAACAACCCAGACCGCCAGCUAAGGUCCCAAAGUCAUGGUUAAGUGGGAAACGAUGUGGGAAGGCCCAGACAGCCAGGAUGUUGGCUUAGAAGCAGCCAUCAUUUAAAGAAAGCGUAAUAGCUCACUGGUCGAGUCGGCCUGCGCGGAAGAUGUAACGGGGCUAAACCAUGCACCGAAGCUGCGGCAGCGACACUGUGUGUUGUUGGGUAGGGGAGCGUUCUGUAAGCCUGUGAAGGUGUGUCG
Molecule: ribosomal RNA, 676 nt
Filed under: Salmonella enterica
Lineage: Bacteria; Pseudomonadati; Pseudomonadota; Gammaproteobacteria; Enterobacterales; Enterobacteriaceae
Description: partial 23S ribosomal RNA
Rfam family: Bacterial large subunit ribosomal RNA
Source: RNAcentral